UUAGAGUUUGAUCCUGGCUCAGGAUGAACGCUAGCGACAGGCUUAACACAUGCAAGUCGAGGGGCAGCGCGGGUGUAGCAAUAUACCUGGCGGCGACCGGCGGAAGGGUGCGUAACGCGUGAGCAACUUGCCCGUAUCUGGGACAUAACCGGUGGAAACGCCGACUAAUUUCCCAUAACAACAUUGGAGACAUCUCCGAAGUUUGAAAGAUUCGUUGGAUACGGAUGGGCUCGCGUGACAUUAGCUAGUUGGUGUGGUAACGGCACACCAAGGCGACGAUGUCUAGGGGUUCUGAGAGGAAGGUCCCCCACACUGGAACUGAGACACGGUCCAGACUCCUACGGGAGGCAGCAGUGAGGAAUAUUGGUCAAUGGGCGGAAGCCUGAACCAGCCAUGCCGCGUGCAGGAAUAAGGCCCUAUGGGUCGUAAACUGCUUUUGUAGUGGAGCAAUAAGGUCUACGUGUAGACUGAUGAGAGUACAUUACGAAUAAGCAUCGGCUAACUCCGUGCCAGCAGCCGCGGUAAUACGGAGGAUGCAAGCGUUAUCCGGAUUUAUUGGGUUUAAAGGGUGCGUAGGCUGUGCGUCAAGUCAGCGGUGAAAGCCCGGGGCCUAACUCCGGAACUGCCGUUGAUACUGUCGCGCUGGAAUACGGAUGCCGUGGGAGGAAUGAGUAGUGUAGCGGUGAAAUGCAUAGAUAUUACUCAGAACACCGAUUGCGAAGGCAGCUGACUAAUCCGCAACUGACGCUCAGGCACGAAAGCGUGGGGAUCGAACAGGAUUAGAUACCCUGGUAGUCCACGCAGUAAACGAUGAAGGCUAGCUAUUAGCGAUAGACAGUUAGUGGCUAAGGGAAACCGAUAAGCCUUCCACCUGGGGAGUACGCCGGCAACGGUGAAACUCAAAGGAAUUGACGGGGGCCCGCACAAGCGGAGGAACAUGUGGUUUAAUUCGAUGAUACGCGAGGAACCUUACCCGGGCUUGAAAGUUAGUGACGGACCUGGAAACAGGUCUUUCCGCAAGGACACGAAACUAGGUGCUGCAUGGUUGUCGUCAGCUCGUGCCGUGAGGUGUCGGCUCAAGUGCCAUAACGAGCGCAACCCUUGUCAUCAGUUGCCAUCAUUGAGUUGGGACUCUGGUGAGACUGCCGCCGCAAGGUGAGAGGAAGGGGGGGAUGACGUCAAAUCAGCACGGCCCUUACGUCCGGGGCGACACACGUGUUACAAUGGAUGGUACAGAGGGCAGCGAAGGGGCGACCCGGAGCGAAUCUCAGAAAGCCAUUCCCAGUUCGGAUCGGAGUCUGCAACCCGACUCCGUGAAGCUGGAUUCGCUAGUAAUCGCGCAUCAGCCAUGGCGCGGUGAAUACGUUCCCGGGCCUUGCACUCACCGCCGGUCAAG
Molecule: ribosomal RNA, 1396 nt
Filed under: uncultured bacterium
Lineage: Bacteria
Description: bacterial SSU rRNA
Rfam family: Bacterial small subunit ribosomal RNA
Source: RNAcentral